RNAcentral lists this ribosomal RNA (1583 nucleotides) under Kiritimatiellia bacterium. Its description in RNAcentral is "bacterial SSU rRNA". It matches the Rfam family "Bacterial small subunit ribosomal RNA". The record is from RNAcentral. Lineage: Bacteria; Pseudomonadati; Kiritimatiellota; Kiritimatiellia.
CUGAUGGAGAGUUUGAUUCUGGCUCAGAACGAACGCUGGCAGCGUGGAUUAGGCAUGCAAGUCGAACGAGAAGCUUUGGAUUCAAUCUUUCGAGAGAGAAACUGAAGUGGAAAGUGGCGGAAGGGUGAGUAACGCGUGGAUAACCUACCCUUGAGUUGGGGACAACAUUCCGAAAGGAGUGCUAAUACCGAAUGUGGUAACCUGUCGCAGGACAGGCUCACUAAAGACGGGGAUUCUUCGGAACCUGUCGCUCGAGGAGGGGUCCGCGUCCCAUCAGCUUGUUGGUAAGGUAAAGGCUUACCAAGGCAUACGGGUAGCCGGCCUGAGAGGGUGAUCGGCCACACUGGGACUGAGACACUGCCCAGACUCCUACGGGAGGCUGCAGUCGAGGAUCAUUCGCAAUGCGCGAAAGCGUGACGAUGCGACGCUGCGUGGAGGAUGACGGCCUUAGGGUUGUAAACUCCUGUCAUGAGGGAAAAACGGCCAGUAGGAUAAUACCCUAUUGGUGUGAUGGUACCUCAAGAGGAAGCCACGGCUAACUCUGUGCCAGCAGCCGCGGUAAUACAGAGGUGGCGAGCGUUGUUCGGAUUUACUGGGCGUAAAGGGUGCGUAGGCGGUUAUGUAUGUCGGAUGUGAAAUCCCAGGGCUCAACUUUGGAAUUGCAUCCGAAACUGCAUAACUUGAGUGCAGGAUGGGAGAGCGGAAUUCUUGGUGUAGCGGUGAAAUGCGUUGAUAUCAAGAAGAACACCGGCGGCGAAGGCGGCUCUCUGGAAUGUUACUGACGCUGAGGCACGAAAGCUGGGGGAGCAAACAGGAUUAGAUACCCUGGUAGUCCCAGCCGUAAACGGUGCACACUUGGUGUUGGAGGUAUUGACCCCUCCAGUGCCGGAGCUAACGCGUUAAGUGUGCCGCCUGGGGAGUACGGCCGCAAGGCUAAAACUCAAAGAAAUUGACGGGGGCCCGCACAAGCGGAGGAGCAUGUGGCUUAAUUCGAUGCAACGCGAAGAACCUUACCAGGGCUUGACAUGGGGACCCUUCGGGGGUGGGUGCGAAAGUACCCUUUACCAUCACAGGUGCUGCAUGGCUGUCGUCAGUUCGUGCCGUGAGGUGUUGGGUUAAGUCCCGCAACGAACGCAACCCCUGUGGUUAGUUGCCACUUCAGGUGAUGAGCCUGGAAGCACUCUAGCCAGACUGCCCGUACAAGCGGGAGGAAGGUGGGGAUGACGUCAAGUCAGUAUGGCCCUUACGCCCUGGGCUGCACACGUGCUACAAUGGCCGGUACAGAGGGAUGCAAUACCGCGAGGUGGAGCAAAUCCAGAAAACCGGUCCCAGUUCGGAUUGGAGUCUGCAACUCGACUCCAUGAAGUUGGAUUCGCUAGUAACGGCGUAUCAGCUACGACGCCGUGAAUACGUUCCCGGGCCUUGUACACACCGCCUGUCAAAUCAUGAAAGUCGGUCCUGCCCAAAGUAUGUGUGUUAACCUCACCUCGGUGGGGAGGCAGCAUCCAAAGGUGGGGCUGGUGAUUGGGAUUAAGUCAUAACAAGGUAGCCGUAGGGGAACCUGCGGCUGGAUCACCUCCUUU